GUGGGGAAUCUUCCGCAAUGGACGAAAGUCUGACGGAGCGACGCCGCGUGAGUGAUGAAGGCCUUCGGGUCGUAAAGCUCUGUCGUCGGGGACGAACGGCCGCCUCAGGGAAUGGGGGCGGAGUGACGGUACCCGAGAAGGAAGCCACGGCUAACUACGUGCCAGCAGCCGCGGUAAUACGUAGGUGGCAAGCGUUGUCCGGAAUUAUUGGGCGUAAAGCGCGCGCAGGUGGGAUUUUAAGUCCAUUUUGAAAGUUCGGAGCUUAACUCCGUGAUGGGAUGGAAACUGGGAUUCUUGAGUACCGGAGAGGAAAGCGGAAUUCCCCGUGUAGCGGUGAAAUGCGUAGAUAUGGGGAGGAACACCAGUGGCGAAGGCGGCUUUCUGGACGGUGUCUGACACUGAGGCGCGAAAGCCAGGGGAGCGAACGGGAUUAGAUACCCUAGUAGUCC
RNAcentral lists this ribosomal RNA (449 nucleotides) under uncultured bacterium. RNAcentral describes it as "partial 16S ribosomal RNA". It matches the Rfam family "Bacterial small subunit ribosomal RNA", at positions 354 to 796 of the family's 1533-position model. The record is from RNAcentral.